This 326-nucleotide ribosomal RNA is filed under the name uncultured eukaryote. RNAcentral describes it as "partial 18S ribosomal RNA". It matches the Rfam family "Eukaryotic small subunit ribosomal RNA", at positions 1470 to 1796 of the family's 1831-position model. The record is from RNAcentral.
CCCUUAGAUGUUCUGGGCCGCACGCGCGCUACACUGAUGCAUUCAACAGGCCUAGCCUUGACCGAGAGGUCCGGGUAAUCUUUGAAACUGCAUCGUGAUGGGGCUAGAUUAUUGCAAUUAUUAAUCUUCAACGAGGAAUGCCUAGUAAGCGUGAUUCAUCAAAUCGCGUUGAUUACGUCCCUGCCCUUUGUACACACCGCCCGUCGCUCCUACCGAUUGAAUGUGUUGGUGAGGAGCUCGGAUUGGCAGCAGUUGGUGGUUCGCCACCGGCUAUUGCUGAGAAGUCCUCCAAACCGCCCCAUUUAGAGGAAGGAGAAGUCGUAACA